Molecule: long non-coding RNA, 207 nt
Organism: Octopus sinensis (East Asian common octopus)
Lineage: Eukaryota; Metazoa; Mollusca; Cephalopoda; Octopoda; Octopodidae
Exons: 2
Source: RefSeq, a predicted model, not a curated record
ACAAAUUCUACUUGACUCAAUUUUACUUCACAGGUAUUUGAGUGGUAAUUCGAUCAAAGAAAUCAAAGUAGAAACAUUCCGAAGUCUUUCCAGUUUAACAUUUCUAUUUUUGAAUGAAAAUGAUAUCGAAAACAUUCAAGUAGGAACUUUCGAUGAUUUGCUCAGUUUAAGAGCUCUGUAAGUUAACUAAGUUUUACUCAUUAUAUU